This 72-nucleotide transfer RNA is filed under the name Bacteroidota bacterium. RNAcentral's name for it is "tRNA-Gln". It matches the Rfam family "tRNA". Rfam says of the family: Transfer RNA (tRNA) molecules are approximately 80 nucleotides in length. The record is from RNAcentral. Lineage: Bacteria; Pseudomonadati; Bacteroidota. RNAcentral also lists the same sequence under 2 other names.
UGCCUCGUGGCCUAAUGGUAUGGCGGCUGCCUCUGGAGCAGUAGAUUCCAGGUUCGAGUCCUGGCGAGGCAG